AUUGAACGCUGGCGGCAGGCUUAACACAUGCAAGUCGAACGGUAACAGGAAGCAGCUUGCUGCUUCGCUGACGAGUGGCGGACGGGUGAGUAAUGUCUGGGAAGCUGCCUGAUGGAGGGGGAUAACUACUGGAAACGGUAGCUAAUACCGCAUAAUGUCGCAAGACCAAAGAGGGGGACCUUCGUGCCUCUUGCCAUCGGAUGUGCCCGGAUGGGAUUAGCUUGUCGGUGGGGUAACGUCUCACCAAGGCGACGAUCCCUAGCUGGUCUGAGAGGAUGACCAGCCACACUGGAACUGGAACACGGUCCAGACUCCUACGGGAGGCAGCAGUGGGGAAUAUUGCACAGUGGGCGCAAGCCUGAUGCAGCCAUGCCGCGUGUAUGAAGAAGGCCUUCGGGUUGUAAAGUACUUUCAGCGGGGAGGAAGGGAGUAAAGUUGAUACCUUUGCUCAUUGACGUUACCCGCAGAAGAAGCACCGGCUAACUCCGUG
RNAcentral lists this ribosomal RNA (490 nucleotides) under uncultured bacterium. Its description in RNAcentral is "partial 16S ribosomal RNA". It matches the Rfam family "Bacterial small subunit ribosomal RNA", at positions 30 to 507 of the family's 1533-position model. The record is from RNAcentral.